RNAcentral lists this ribosomal RNA (271 nucleotides) under Theileria sp. RNAcentral describes it as "partial small subunit ribosomal RNA". It matches the Rfam family "Eukaryotic small subunit ribosomal RNA", at positions 525 to 830 of the family's 1831-position model. Lineage: Eukaryota; Apicomplexa; Aconoidasida; Piroplasmida; Theileriidae. The record is from RNAcentral.
UUAAACCUCUUCCAGAGUAUCAAUUGGAGGGCAAGUCUGGUGCCAGCAGCCGCGGUAAUUCCAGCUCCAAUAGCGUAUAUUAAAAUUGUUGCAGUUAAAAAGCUCGUAGUUGAAUUUCUGCUGCAUUACUUUUGCUCCUUGACGAGUGUCUGUAUUGUGGCUUAUUUCGGAUUAUGCUUGCAUUUUCCGGAUGUUUACUUUGAGAAAAUUAGAGUGCUCAAAGCAGGCUUUUGCCUUGAAUAGUUUAGCAUGGAAUAAUAAAGUAGGACUU